GUAUUACAGUACAACGCGUAAGUAAGGAAUCUGCGCGGAUGCAGGUGGAUCUCUCCGCCCGUAGUCACUCAACAGAAGCGUAUACGACGGGGGGCAUGGACGUGUACAGUACAUGUUCUCAAUAAGCACAGGAUACAUUGUCAAAAAUCGCGUUUGUUGCUAUGCGUGAGUCUUGUGCCAGUUACGUCCAGAUUUCUAGACGGUAGCAUCUUAUUGUCGUCUUCAGGUAGUCAUGUUAAGUUAUCUGUAACAUUUCGUACAAGCCGAUGAAGAAGUACUUUGUCCGGCCUUAAGCAAUACUGUGCCGACACGCUGAGAUAAUAUUCAGCGUAACACACCAGAGCGAAUGUGGUAGGCACACUAAAGAACACGGCGAUGCAGUACUACUGCAGAUCUCAGCCACGUGACGGCCCUGUUUCGAGAGCUGUUCACAACGGACUACUCCAGUAUUGCCCGGUUGCUGCAAAAAGAAGCGGGUAUCCAGUUUUAAGUCAGACACACAAGCUCCAGCGUGAUCCUGUGAUACAUGGCUGCACUGGCUAUGUACCAUGAAGUUUACCUGCAAUUAAUGUAAUUUCUAAUGUCUGUGUUGUACCAAAUAUAUAGUUGUUCACUCCUCUGGCUAAACAGUUAAUACCACAGACCAAGAAAUUAAAAAAAAGUAAGCACAUAUGUUUCUCCGUACCGUAACUUUAUGUAAAAUAUAAAAUAUUGCCUGUGAA
Long non-coding RNA from Schistocerca americana (American grasshopper), 722 nucleotides. RefSeq lists it as uncharacterized. Lineage: Eukaryota; Metazoa; Arthropoda; Insecta; Orthoptera; Acrididae. The transcript has 2 exons. The record is from RefSeq and is a predicted model, not a curated record.